CCCCUUGCUAAGGCCGAUGGCGACCGGCGCACGGGUGAGUAACACGUAUCCAACCUGCCGUCUACUCUCCCCCCCCCUUCUGAAAGGAAGAUUAAUACAAGAUGGCAUCAUGACUCCGCAUGUUCACAUGAUUAAAGGUAUUCCGGUAGACGAUGGGGAUGCGUUCCAUUAGAUAGUAGGCGGGGUAACGGCCCACCUAGUCUUCGAUGGAUAGGGGUUCUGAGAGGAAGGUCCCCCACAUUGGAACUGAGACACGGUCCAAACUCCUACGGGAGGCAGCAGUGAGGAAUAUUGGUCAAUGGGCGCAGGCCUGAACCAGCCAAGUAGCGUGAAGGAUGACUGCCCUAUGGGUUGUAAACUUCUUUUAUAAAGGAAUAAAGUCGGGUAUGUAUACCCGUUUGCAUGUACUUUAUGAAUAAGGAUCGGCUAACUCCGUGCCAGCAGCCGCGGUAAUACGGAGGAUCCGAGCGUUAUCCGGAUUUAUUGGGUUUAAAGGGAGCGUAGAUGGAUGUUUAAGUCAGUUGUGAAAGUUUGCGGCUCAACCGUAAAAUUGCAGUUGAUACUGGAUAUCUUGAGUGCAGUUGAGGCAGGCGGAAUUCGUGGUGUAGCGGUGAAAUGCUUAGAUAUCACGAAGAACUCCGAUUGCGAAGGCAGCCUGCUAAGCUGCAACUGACAUUGAGGCUCGAAAGUGUGGGUAUCAAACAGGAUUAGAUACCCUGGUAGUCCACACGGUAAACGAUGAAUACUCGCUGUUUGCGAUAUACAGCAAGCGGCCAAGCGAAAGCGUUAAGUAUUCCACCUGGGGAGUACGCCGGCAACGGUGAAACUCAAAGGAAUUGACGGGGGCCCGCACAAGCGGAGGAACAUGUGGUUUAAUUCGAUGAUACGCGAGGAACCUUACCCGGGCUUAAAUUGCAGAUGAAUUACGGUGAAAGCCGUAAGCCGCAAGGCAUCUGUGAAGGUGCUGCAUGGUUGUCGUCAGCUCGUGCCGUGAGGUGUCGGCUUAAGUGCCAUAACGAGCGCAACCCUUGUUGUCAGUUACUAACAGGUUCCGCUGAGGACUCUGACAAGACUGCCAUCGUAAGAUGUGAGGAAGGUGGGGAUGACGUCAAAUCAGCACGGCCCUUAUGUCCGGGGCUACACACGUGUUACAAUGGGGGGUACAGAGGGCCGCUACCACGCGAGUGGAUGCCAAUCCCAAAAACCUCUCUCAGUUCGGACUGGAGUCUGCGACCCGACUCCACGAAGCUGGAUUCGCUAGUAAUCGCGCAUCAGCCACGGCGCGGUGAAUACGUUCCCGGGCCUUGUACU
RNAcentral lists this ribosomal RNA (1311 nucleotides) under uncultured bacterium. Its description in RNAcentral is "bacterial SSU rRNA". It matches the Rfam family "Bacterial small subunit ribosomal RNA", at positions 71 to 1387 of the family's 1533-position model. The record is from RNAcentral.